UGGUUCUUGAGAUAACGUAAGGGAUAAAAAUGAUAGUACCUUACUAUAAGUGUUGUCCAACUAUACUGGUGCCAGAAGACUCGGUAACGCCAGAAACGCAAACGUUAGUCGUCCUAAUCAGGCGUAAAGGGUAAGUAGGCUGCUUUGAAAGUUGUUAGUUAGAAAGCUCUUUAAAAAAUUGUUUAAAGUAAUUAAUAAUGAAUUAAAGCUAGAAUCAAAUAGGGGAUAAGCCAAAUAAUAUUUAGUGUAAGGCUAAUAUCUUUAGAUACUAAAUGGAAUACUAAGGUGAAAACUUUUAUCUACUAAUGAUUGACGCUGAGGAACGAAGGUGAGAAUAGAAAACAGGAUUAGAGACCCAGGUAUCUCUCACUGUCAACGAUGAAUGGUAGUUGUUAGUUAAACUUAACUAGUAACGAUGUUAACGCGUUAACCAUUCCGCCUUGCGAGUACG
This 451-nucleotide ribosomal RNA is filed under the name Lepiota clypeolaria. RNAcentral describes it as "SSU rRNA". It matches the Rfam family "Bacterial small subunit ribosomal RNA", at positions 431 to 884 of the family's 1533-position model. The record is from RNAcentral. Lineage: Eukaryota; Fungi; Basidiomycota; Agaricomycetes; Agaricales; Agaricaceae.